Molecule: ribosomal RNA, 882 nt
Filed under: Purpureocillium lilacinum
Lineage: Eukaryota; Fungi; Ascomycota; Sordariomycetes; Hypocreales; Ophiocordycipitaceae
Description: partial large subunit ribosomal RNA
Rfam family: Eukaryotic large subunit ribosomal RNA
Source: RNAcentral
CCGGUAGCUUAAGCAUAUCAAUAAGCGGAGGAAAAGAAACCAACAGGGAUUGCCCCAGUAACGGCGAGUGAAGCGGCAACAGCUCAAAUUUGAAAUCUGGCCCCCAGGGCCCGAGUUGUAAUUUGCAGAGGAUGCUUUUGGCGCGGUGCCUUCCGAGUUCCCUGGAACGGGACGCCAUAGAGGGUGAGAGCCCCGUCUGGUCGGACGCCUAGCCUGUGUAAAGCUCCUUCGACGAGUCGAGUAGUUUGGGAAUGCUGCUCUAAAUGGGAGGUAUAUGUCUUCUAAAGCUAAAUACCGGCCAGAGACCGAUAGCGCACAAGUAGAGUGAUCGAAAGAUGAAAAGCACUUUGAAAAGAGGGUUAAAUAGUACGUGAAAUUGUUGAAAGGGAAGCGCUUGUGACCAGACUUGGGCCCGGUGGAUCAUCCAGCGUUCUCGCUGGUGCACUCCGCCGGGUUCAGGCCAGCAUCAGUUCGCCGCGGGGGAAAAAGGCUUCGGGAACGUGGCUCCUACGGGAGUGUUAUAGCCCGUUGCAUAAUACCCUGGGGCGGACUGAGGUUCGCGCUCCGCAAGGAUGCUGGCGUAAUGGUCAUCAGCGACCCGUCUUGAAACACGGACCAAGGAGUCGUCUUCGUAUGCGAGUGUUCGGGUGUAAAACCCCUACGCGUAAUGAAAGUGAACGCAGGUGAGAGCUUCGGCGCAUCAUCGACCGAUCCUGAUGUUCUCGGAUGGAUUUGAGUAAGAGCAUACGGGGCCGGACCCGAAAGAAGGUGAACUAUGCCUGUAUAGGGUGAAGCCAGAGGAAACUCUGGUGGAGGCUCGCAGCGGUUCUGACGUGCAAAUCGAUCGUCAAAUAUGGGCAUGGGGGCGAAAGACUAAUCGAA